GAUAAGUAAUGUGAAUUGCAGAAUUCAGUGAACCAUCGAAUCUUUGAACGCACAUUGCGCCCCUUGGUAUUCCGAGGGGCAUGCCUGUUCGAGCGUCAUUACACCACUCAAGCUAUGCUUGGUAUUGGGUGCCGUCCUUAGUUGGGCGCGCCUUAAAGACCUCGGCGAGGCCUCACCGGCUUUAGGCGUAGUAGAAUUUAUUCGAACGUCUGUCAAAGGAGAGGACUUCUGCCGACUGAAACCUUUUAUAUUUUUUCUAGGUUGACCUCGGAUCAGGUAGGGAUACCCGCUGAACUUAAGCAUAUCAAUAAGCGGAGGAAA
This 321-nucleotide ribosomal RNA is filed under the name uncultured Dothioraceae. RNAcentral's name for it is "eukaryotic LSU rRNA". The stretch from base 1 to 98 matches the Rfam family "5.8S ribosomal RNA", at positions 57 to 154 of the family's 154-position model. The record is from RNAcentral. Lineage: Eukaryota; Fungi; Ascomycota; Dothideomycetes; Dothideales; Dothioraceae.